Molecule: transfer RNA, 73 nt
Filed under: Bos taurus (domestic cattle)
Lineage: Eukaryota; Metazoa; Chordata; Mammalia; Artiodactyla; Bovidae
Also listed under: 1 other name
Rfam family: tRNA
About the family: Transfer RNA (tRNA) molecules are approximately 80 nucleotides in length. Their secondary structure includes four short double-helical elements and three loops (D, anti-codon, and T loops). Further hydrogen bonds mediate the characteristic L-shaped molecular structure. tRNAs have two regions of fundamental functional importance: the anti-codon, which is responsible for specific mRNA codon recognition, and the 3' end, to which the tRNAs corresponding amino acid is attached (by aminoacyl-tRNA synthetases). tRNAs cope with the degeneracy of the genetic code in two manners: having more than one tRNA (with a specific anti-codon) for a particular amino acid; and 'wobble' base-pairing, i.e. permitting non-standard base-pairing at the 3rd anti-codon position.
Source: Rfam by way of RNAcentral
UCCCCGGUGGUCCAGAGGCUAAGACCCUGCACUCCUAAUGCAGAGGACCUAGGUUUGAUCCCCAGGCAGGGAA